Lathyrus oleraceus (garden pea) is the source of this 294-nucleotide long non-coding RNA. RefSeq lists it as uncharacterized. The transcript has 2 exons. Lineage: Eukaryota; Viridiplantae; Streptophyta; Magnoliopsida; Fabales; Fabaceae. The record is from RefSeq and is a predicted model, not a curated record.
AGAGAUGAUACAGUAGAGUUAAUAAGGACUACCGAUACGAUUUUGUGGUUGUGGGCUAAGGAUCAUAUUGAAAGUUUGGUUCCAACUUGUUGAGAAUAUUAUUUGGAAAGUAUGGAAAAGGGGUUGAUGCACUUGACUAUGUUGAAGCAACAGAUGAGAGCAUGAUUUUCAAUCAAUUAGAAUUGUUUUUUUAGUUUACUUAAAUGAUGCAGAAUCACUCAACUUUUUGAUUUUUUCUUAACGUAUUUAUAAUUAUUUUUGUAUUCAAUAUAAUAUAUAGUAUUUUACAUGCCA